GACGAACGCUGGCGGCGUGCUUAACACAUGCAAGUCGAGCGAUGAAGUUUCUUCGGAAAUGGAUUAGCGGCGAACGGGUGAGGAACACGUGAAGAAUCUGCCCUCCACUUUGGGAUAACACCGGGAAACCGGUGCUAAUACCGAAUAUUGAAACAUAAGUGGCAUCACUGAGCUUUGAAAGAAUUUCGGUGGAGGAUGACUUCGCGGCCUAGCAGCUAGUUGGUGAGGUAAUGGCUCACCAAGGCAACGACGGGUAGCCGGCCUGAGAGGGCGACCGGCCACACUGGGACUGAGACACGGCCCAGACUCCUACGGGAGGCAGCAGUGGGGAAUAUUGGGCAAUGGAGGAAACUCUGACCCAGCGACGCCGCGUGCGGGAUGAAGGCCUUCGGGUUGUAAACCGCUUUCAGUAGGGAAGAAGCGAAAGUGACGGUACCUACAAAAGAAGCACCGGCUAACUAUGUGCCAGCCGCCGCAGUAA
This 481-nucleotide ribosomal RNA is filed under the name uncultured bacterium. RNAcentral's name for it is "partial 16S ribosomal RNA". It matches the Rfam family "Bacterial small subunit ribosomal RNA", at positions 28 to 523 of the family's 1533-position model. The record is from RNAcentral.